AACGUAGUAGAUUAUUUUGGUCUUUAGGUUUAUUUCUCCCGCAUUUCUUUUUACUUGGCGCCACCGCUAGCAGCACGGUGUUCUUCCAUUCAACGGAGUUGAAUAAGGCAAAAUUAGCAAAGAUGCAGCGGAGAGUGUCGGCAUCGGGGAGGCCUUCUGGUACAGAUGGCUCAGAUUACUCGUAUCAGAUGGUUGUUGAUUUCUGAUAUCAGAAAGUAGCUCGUACAAAGUCUAUUCUGUCUUCACUUUUUUUAGUUCAGGU
Long non-coding RNA from Hibiscus syriacus, 262 nucleotides. RefSeq lists it as uncharacterized. The transcript is spliced from 3 exons. NCBI's taxonomy places the organism in Eukaryota, Viridiplantae, Streptophyta, Magnoliopsida, Malvales, Malvaceae. The record is from RefSeq and is a predicted model, not a curated record.